Molecule: long non-coding RNA, 206 nt
Filed under: Elaeis guineensis (African oil palm)
Lineage: Eukaryota; Viridiplantae; Streptophyta; Magnoliopsida; Arecales; Arecaceae
Description: long non-coding RNA (EGUI_LNC054564)
Source: RNAcentral
GGAUGAGGAUCUAAAUGGAUAAACCCUAGAGUCCAAUUUUGAUUGGACUCUUCCUCCCAUGCGACACCCUUUACCCAUGCCAAAUAAUUCUUCAAGCAAAUUCUGAUUUAAGUGAAUUAUUGCUCACACUUAGAAGUGUUUCUCGCCCACUUUUUCAACACCCUAGUGGAUAGGAUUAAGUGGUUAAGGUUUAGAUUCAAAUUGGU